CCUACGAGUGGCAGCAGUGAGGAAUAUUGGUCAAUGGGCGCGAGCCUGAACCAGCCAAGUCGCGUGAGGGAAGACGGUCCUAUGGAUUGUAAACCUCUUUUGUCGGGGAGCAAAAGACGCCACGCGUGGCGUUCCGAGAGUACCCGAAGAACAAGCAUCGGCUAACUCCGUGCCAGCAGCCGCGGUAAUACGGAGGAAGCGAGCGUUAUCCGGAUUUAUUGGGUUUAAAGGGUGCGCAGGCGGAAGAUCAAGGCAGCGGUAAACUUGAGAGGCUCAACCUCUUCGAGCCGUUGAAACUGGUGUUCUGGCGUGAGUGAGAAGUAGGCGGAAUGCGUGGUGUAGCGGUGAAAUGCAUAGAUAUCACGCAGAACUCCGAUUGCGAAGGCAGCAUACCGGCGCUCAACUGACGCUCAUGCACGAAAGUGUGGGUAUCGAACAGGAUUAGAUACCCCAGUAGUC
This 459-nucleotide ribosomal RNA is filed under the name uncultured bacterium. RNAcentral describes it as "partial 16S ribosomal RNA". It matches the Rfam family "Bacterial small subunit ribosomal RNA", at positions 338 to 795 of the family's 1533-position model. The record is from RNAcentral.